AGUGAACGCUGGCGGCAGGCCUAACACAUGCAAGUCGAACGGCAGCACAGAGGAGCUUGCUCCUUGGGUGGCGAGUGGCGGACGGGUGAGGAAUACAUCGGAAUCUGCCUAUUUGUGGGGGAUAACGUAGGGAAACUUACGCUAAUACCGCAUACGACCUACGGGUGAAAGCGGAGGACCUUCGGGCUUCGCGCAGAUAGAUGAGCCGAUGUCGGAUUAGCUAGUUGGCGGGGUAAAGGCCCACCACGGCGACGGUCCGUAGCUGGUCUGCGAGGAUGAUCAGCCACACUGGAACGGAGACACGGUCCGGACUCCUACGGGAGGCAGCAGUGGGGAAUGUUGGACAAUGGGCGCAAGCCUGAUCCAGCCAUGCCGCGUGGGUGAAGAAGGCCUUCGGGUUGUAAAGCCCUUUUGUUGGGAAAGAAAAGCAGCCGGUUAAUACCCGGUUGUUCUGACGGUACCCAAAGAAUAAGCACCGGCUAACUUCGUGCCAGCCGCCGCCGUAA
RNAcentral lists this ribosomal RNA (506 nucleotides) under uncultured bacterium. Its description in RNAcentral is "partial 16S ribosomal RNA". It matches the Rfam family "Bacterial small subunit ribosomal RNA", at positions 29 to 523 of the family's 1533-position model. The record is from RNAcentral.